CGGGAUGGCCAGACGAUCGCGUGCCACGAAAGUGGCCCGAGGAACGUCCGGGCUCCACAGAACGGGGUGGUGGGUAACGCCCACUCGGGGAAACCCGCAGGCUAGUGCCACAGAAAAUAGACCGCCCGCAAGGGUAAGGGUGAAACGGUGGUGUAAGAGACCACCAGCAUUCCAGGUGACUGGAGUGGCUAGGUAAACCCCACCCGGAGCAAGGUCAGACAGACUACUGGGUUGUUCGCUCAAUGUAGUCGGGUGGGCCGCUUGAGGGUGUCGGUAACGGCGCUCCUAGAUAGAUGAUCGUCACCGCGAUCCCGGGUAACCGGCCGCGGGACAAAACCCGGCGUAUCGGUCAUCCCGUCCA
This 361-nucleotide RNase P RNA is filed under the name Arthrobacter sp. MYb227. RNAcentral describes it as "Bacterial RNase P class A". It matches the Rfam family "Bacterial RNase P class A". Rfam says of the family: Ribonuclease P (RNase P) is a ubiquitous endoribonuclease, found in archaea, bacteria and eukarya as well as chloroplasts and mitochondria. Its best characterised activity is the generation of mature 5'-ends of tRNAs by cleaving the 5'-leader elements of precursor-tRNAs. The record is from Rfam by way of RNAcentral. Lineage: Bacteria; Bacillati; Actinomycetota; Actinomycetes; Micrococcales; Micrococcaceae.